RNAcentral lists this unclassified non-coding RNA (389 nucleotides) under uncultured fungus. Its description in RNAcentral is "partial contains 5.8S ribosomal RNA and internal transcribed spacer 2". The stretch from base 1 to 134 matches the Rfam family "5.8S ribosomal RNA", at positions 22 to 154 of the family's 154-position model. Lineage: Eukaryota; Fungi. The record is from RNAcentral.
UGGCUCUCGCAUCGAUGAAGAACGCAGCGAAAUGCGAUAAGUAAUGUGAAUUGCAGAAUUCAGUGAAUCAUCGAAUCUUUGAACGCACCUUGCGCCCUUUGGCUAUUCCGAAGGGCAUGCCUGUUUGAGUAUCAUGAACACCUCAACUCUCAUGGCUUGCCAUGACGAGCUUGGACUUUGGGGGUCUUGCCGGCCUGCGGUCGGCUCCUCUCAAAUGAAUCAGCUUACCAGUGUUUGGUGGCAUCACAGGUGUGAUAACUAUCUACGCUUGUGGUUUUCCACCAGGUAACCUUCAGUGAUGGAGGUUUGCUGGGGCUCAUAAAUGUCUCUCCUCAGUGAGGACAGCUCUUUGAACAUUUGAUCUCAAAUCAGGUAGGACUACCCGCUGA